This 11092-nucleotide long non-coding RNA is filed under the name Nicotiana benthamiana. RNAcentral's name for it is "long non-coding RNA (NBEN_LNC032449)". Lineage: Eukaryota; Viridiplantae; Streptophyta; Magnoliopsida; Solanales; Solanaceae. The record is from RNAcentral.
UUGCCUAUAAAAGGUAUCACAAAUGCCUUGAAUAGAGGGGUUGGGAGCCAUUUUUAAUUUCUCCAGUUUGCUCUCUUUAAUUUUUACAUUCAGAUUCGAAAUUCCAAGUUCAAAACCCAAAAAAAAAAAAAAAAAUAGAAAGGAAAAACAAAACAAAGAAAAAUCCAAAACAUUACUGUUUCAUUGCAUAUCCUUGAAUCACUUUCAGUUUUCUGUCACAUCUGAGUGAUUCGAGCUAGCUGGUAGUUCAACGUGGUUGUCUAGCUGAUUUUUGGGUUCAUUUUGGAUUAAGGGGUGCUGUUUGAGUUUGCUUUAGGGCUGAUUGGUUUGGUCUCUUUGUUUUCAAUAGUUUUUGGGCUGCUUGUUGCUCAUUCAUUGCCGGUUUUCUAUUGCUGCUAGCCUGUCUUCAGCCGCUGACCUUCCUUUCUUCUAUUAUAUUUUCAAAUACCAGGUACACUCCCUCAAAUUGCUUCCAUGUAGCUCUAAUUGAAGUUGAAAUGGAAAACUGCCAAAUCUAGGCUUAUUUGAAUGUUGUUCAUUGUUUACAAUUCAGUUCAGUAGACAUUAGGAAAUAAAUGCGUUUGGAAUGUUAAUUUGGACUGUGUAUUGUAGUUUUUGAAUUGGUGGAUUGCUGGUAGGGAUGGCAAUUGGGGCAGGGCGGGGUGGGAAAAACUCUUAACGGGACGGGGCAGGUAAAGAUCUAAAUAGGGCGGGGCGGGGAGGGGCGUUUGAAAGAAAUUUGAUAGGGCGGGGCAAGAUGUAGAGCUUUUGAAAUUGCUUAAAUGUGUACAACUUGUUUUAGAAAUUUGAAGCUUCAAGCUUCAGCUAAUUUAAACAAGAGUUCCCACUUCACAAAAAGAUUGUUAAGAAAAUUAAUAUAAUUAAAUUACUUCAAACGAUGAAAUACUAGCUUUAACUUUCAAAAUCUGAAUACUUACAUCUAGUUGUUAUUGCAUUAAAUUUAAUAAAUUAAUGUUGUAUUUUAAAAUAACAGAUAAUGAAUGAAAGUGAUGCCCCAUAGUGUAAUUUUACAGUCUAAUUCGUUCACUAACUUAAUAAAGAAUAUGAUAACGGAAGGAAACAAAAAUUUUAAGUGACUUAAGCAGUUAGCUAUUUACUUGGGCUGAAGCAUUAAUUUAAGGGGAUUUACUCUUUAAUAAGUUAUACUAUAAUAUUGAUAAAAAUUAUAAUUUAUUCAACUGAUACAAAUAGAUGCCAAUAUUUUACCGUCUAACUCGUUCAUUAACUUAAAAAAGAAUAUGAUAACGGAAGGAAACAAAAAUUUUAAGUGACUUAAGCAGUUAGCUAUUUACUUGGGCUGAAGCAUUAAUUUAAGGGGAUUUACUCUUUAAUAAGUUAUACUAUAAUAUUGAUAAAAAUUAUAAUUUAUUUAAUUGAUACAAAUAAACUGUUUCAUGUCAAUAACACAUCCAUUUUAAAUAAAGAAAAUCUAAACGGAGUGGGGCAGGGUGGGGCAGGGCAGGGCAAAAAUUUGGAAAAGGGCUAAACGGGGCAGGGCAAGGCGGGUCAAAAUUUUAGCGGGUUAAGGCUUGCCCUGGCCUUCCCGCUCCGCCCGCCCCAACUGCCAUCUCCAAUUGCUGAACUUAUUUUACAAACAUGCGAGUUUUGCGUAACCAGCAUUUUAAUCUAUCUUAGGUUGUGUUGCUAGUUAAGAAGUGUAACGGAGUUAAUUCGUUUUCAAUAGAUCCAAAUAGAUUUAUAAAUGCAGUAUUACUUUGUGUGAAGUGUGAUGUAGUUAAUUCAUGUUCAGUAGUUAUGAAAAUAGGUCUAUAUAGUUUGAUAUGUACAAAACGAGUUCAAACAACGCAAAUGGAAAUCAAUAUAUUAGUUUAAUUGGUCCAGUUUUCUGAAAAUGCUAAUGCUCAAAUACUUGAUUAUUUCCGGUUCCAAUUGACUCUUAUUCCUGUAGUGAAGCCCGAUACUCGAAUUGACAAUAACGUGUUAGCCUCUUUAAGCGCGAUUUUAAUAAUUUUACUUUCCUAAAUUCGGGUGCUCAUUUAUGCGACCCAAGUUCAAAUCUUAACGAAGUCGAAAUAUGUUAACAACUACGGAUACAUUGAUUGCGACGUGGUUCGAGACGCGCUUUCAUGGCGUUGCAAUUCUUUUAAAAUAAUGAUAAAAGCGGUUUAAAGUCAAUAAAAGUACCUAAGUUAUAACAUGUAUUAAAAUCAGAUAUUUAGCAUCGCAACAAUUUAAGCGACCGUGCUAGAACCACGGGAUCCGGGGGUGCCUAACACAUUUCCUCGGGUCAAAAGAAUUCCUUACGUAGAAUUUCUGGUUCGUAUAGUCCAAUUGAGAAGUCGAAAAUUUUCAUCGUUUCGGGAUUCAAGAUAAACCGGUGACUUGGGACACCAAAAGCCAAACCUUUCUCAAGUAGCACCUCUAAAUAAAUAAUUCUGAUCUGAAUAAUGUCACUUUAAAUGAAAAAACUCCCAUAUACAUUAUCCUUCGGGGCAGUACGUAAAAAGGAGGCGUGACAGCUCUGGCGACUCUGCUGGGGAAACAAACCCAAAAUUUCGGUUCAGGGUUUAAGAAUUCGAGCUUAGAUAAAUUAUUGUAUUUAGUUAUAUCUGAUUUCCUACAUGUUUCAUGCUUAAUGUGCUAAAUGUGUAACGCUUUGAUAUUAUAUGAAUUGUGUAUAAACUAUGCCGAAACCCUCCUCUUCUCACCUUCGGGGAUGUGCUUACUGGUUGAGACUCCUUAUUCUAUUAGUGUCAUACCUUGAAAUAAGAAAGAGGCCUGGAUCAGUUACAAAGCCGGACGAUCUCGCGGGUCCCCGUUACGUAGCCCACUCAUCGACUCGAGUUGUCCGCUCGUGUACAUUGUGUAGAACACAUACCCAUGUUUCGAACGUAGAAUAACGUGACUUCAUGUCGGUCCCUAGUAGGAACGUUUAUUUGCAUCACGGUGCAUUUGACUUAGGGGAUUCAACACAGGGGUUGGGUCCGUAUAGGACUAACAACCUGAAAUGAAAAAGACCACCAUGAUGCAUCCUACGUGUUUUCCGUUCACUUAUUUAUUUUGGGCAUGCAUGCUGGCCGAUUAUUGAGUAUCGAGAAUAUUGUGAAAUUGUGAAAAAGGGGAAAAAAAGAGAAAUAGCAUGGUAGAAUUAAUCGCCUACUUUUAGAAAAACCAACUUCCAAAUACUAUCGAAACUCUGCCAAAAUUUUAAAAAUGGAAAAGAUAUAUUUUAUUGUUGCAUUGUUGAAAAAGAAAAAGAAAAGAGUCUUAUUUUCAAAAUAGUUUAUUUGCCCGAGCUACGACGGUUUGAUUCCCACAAGGCAUGAGAUACGUAGGCAACCCUCAUCGGGUCCAACUUUCUUUUUGCAAAAAUAACCAAAAUUGUCAAAUUUUAAUUUUUGUUAUAAAUAAGUCGGAUGAUGUCAUUCUUGUCAAAAUAAGCCAAAUGUCCCUAAAGGGGCGAUGGAAGGCUGCUUUUGCGAGAACAACCACCUUUGGCCAUUUUUAGGAUUUUGACCGGCUAGCCUACAUAACCUUAAAUCUUCAUCCCCGAGGCGUUGAAGGGCCGUGUUUUCAACAUCGAGUCUUUUAUUUUAAUUUGAAAAAUAAGAAAAGAGUCAUAAAUAAGUCGGGUAAUGUCAUUUUUGUAAAAAUAGCCGAAUGUUCCUAAAAGGGACACCGGAAGACUGACUUUACAUGAACAACCACUUUUGGUCAUUUGUUUUGGAAUUUUUUGACUGGUUGACGCACACAACCUUAAAAUCUUCGUCCCCAAAGUGCUGAAAGGUCGUGUUCGGAAAAUCGAAUCUUUCCUUUAAUUUGGAAAAAAAUUAAAAUAGUCAAUUUAUUUUGAGCUAAAAAUAUUUUAUUUUGCUUAAUCACCUUAAUAAAUGUGCCGGACGAGCACAAUGCAAAAUGAACCUUUUUCAAUUAUGACUAAAAUUCCUUUGGAGUUGCGGCUAUGGUGAGAUGAUUUAAGUGGUGAAGGGCAAGAUGAAGUCAAGAAAUAUCUGAAAGGUCUUACGGGUUUAUUGGAAAUCAAGCCUCGGGGGGAUAUCAUAAUAGCAUUGGUCACCUGCUGGAACCCGGCACACAAUGUCUUUCACUUCUCAGAUUUUGAACUCACCCUGACUUUGGAGGAAAUAGUCGGGUACAUGAAAAAUACUAAAGUUCCGUAAGGCAAAAAAACAUGGUUGCUCCUAGAGCCGUCAUUGCGCACCGGUUUUUAGACUUAUUAAAGAUACCCAGGACAGUACAUAACCCGGAUUUGGCAAAAGGCUAUUGUACUCCGCACUUCAUAUACAACAGAUUUGGUCAUAUCGGAGGGUUCAACAAUCUGGGUAACAAGCUAUGCAGCAAAAGUAAUCAUCAAAAAUGGGAUGAGCAUAAACGGGGUGGCUUAUAUGAUAACCUUCUUGGGCCUUUUGGUGUUCUCAAGGAAAUACGGGAACAUUUAUCUAAAAAUAGCUGGGGUCAUCAGUACUUUGGUCACUCAAGACGAAAGCACUCUCAUGCCUAUGAUAGUAUCGGAUAUCUUCUGAGCUCUCUCUGCCUGCAAAGCUGGAGGGAACUUUUUUGAGGGGUGUAACUUGUUGCUACAAAUGUGGAUGACUGAGCAUCUAUGCCACCGUUCCCAUCUCCGAAGUUAUGGUUCCUUGAAGAAAACUUGCAUAGAAGAGUUCUACACAAGAAUUAAGGGGGUCAGUCUACCUGGAGAGUUACGGUAUGGACAUCAUUCUUUCGAACCCUCACCGCCAGCCAAAUAAAGUGGACGCUCGGAUGGUUGCCUGUUGAUGAAGUCAUAUAUAUGUCGGCAGCUAGGCUCCACUUUCUAUUGAUGGGACUCAAGAACAUUCAGCCUUAAGCGCCAUAUCGGGUUUUGAGACAGCUCAGGAGAUGCCAAACAGUGCCACAGGAGGAAGAUCUUAGUGCUCAAGUAAUUGAGACUAGUCCCGAUGGACAGUUUCCCGAAGCAAGAGUCCGCCAGAUCUGGAAUGAAUGCAUAUAAUUUAAAGCAGAUACUUGCGUGCAGGAUCGGGCCAAAGGCGAAGUGUUGCCAGACUACCUUGCUAGGUAUAGUAGAGAACUUGAGCAUGAGAGGCCAGUUAAUAGACCCCACCUCCAGGAUUAUGCCGAAUCAUCACAAGAACAAUGGGGUUGGCUGGAAAAAGAAGAGGGUUACAAGGCAGAAAUAGGCAAGCUAAAACAACAGAUUAGAAACCUUGAGUUUAAAAGUAGCGUGCAAACCGCAGCUGAUGAGGGAUAUAAAAAGAAUCUAACCCAGGAAAAUGAGAUGCUUAGGGCCCAAAUCCAAAAAAUGAGGAUAGAUGCUGAUAAACAACAAAGGAUUCGGUCGGAUGAACGGUUGAUACAGGGGUUGAACACAAAAUUCGUUGAGUGUCGGGACGAACUGAAGAAAUCUGAGGGUACCAUAGCAGAACUCCAAGUAUUGUGGGCAAAAAGAACAAAAGAUUGCACACAGUACUCACCCUUGAGGACAAGGCAGCCAAGCAAGCUCGAGCUUUUGAAACUGAAAGUAGACACUGCUAAGAUUUACUACCCCAGAUGGAAGUAGAAAUUCAGCAAUGGCGAAAUCAAUAUCUCUAGGAUUCUCGGGUUUUGAAGGCCCGUAAUGAUCAGAUAAAGUGCAUGCUCAUAUAAAAAGGUCAAACCAGGGACAAGAUUGAGACAACUGCCCAUGCCAUCAUUAGGAGGUGUCGGCUAUGUGAAGAUAUGACCCGCAUUACCUUCUUUUCGGCAAUAAUGAUUUAUGUCAAGCGGACAAUGUAUGAACUGGAGAAACUUGAAAGGGAUCUCGAGCCUACGCCCGCGGUGAGACCGAAUGAUGCCCCGCGGGUACCAGUUUUUGGAGAUUUAAUGUAUUCAUAGUUCGAGUCUGUAUUUUUAUUUAGAGUCUGUUGUCUGUCUGUCUAUUUUCUUUUCGCAUUUGUAGGUUUUUGAGUCUGUAUUUGGCUUUAUUUCGAGUCAGUUAUUUUAAUCUUCAAAAUAAUUAGUUUGCAAUAGAAUAUUUUAGUAUGGAAAUAUUGUUUCAUUAUUUUUAGCAUUUAUUUUCACGAACUACGCUUGGUCUGAUUCGUGCGGGGUCCCGAUACGUAGGCAAUCCUCAUCGGAUUCGACCGUAACCUUAUGAGAAAAGUAAAAAAUGAUAAAUAAAGGGAAAACAAAAGAAACACAAGAGCGGAAGAAAAUCAAAGGAAAAACCAUGGCAAUAGAAAAAGGGAAAGCAGAAAAUGAGAAAAACAGAGGGAAAAAAUAAGUGAGAGAAAAUAAAAGAAAACAAAAGAAAAGGUGGGAUGAGGCAUGCAUCCGCUGCAAACAUGUAGAAAAUCAUUUAACUGUGUAGGUGCAUCACACCCCAGUGUGCGAUUACCUACCUAUAUUUGUCUCAGACUAAUCGUUUGUUGCUGUCAAUACAGUUUAGGUUUAUAGAAACAUGUGGGUUGGUUUAGUGGUAAACUGGCUUCGUACCACCACUUUACCAGAUCUAACUGUAAUACAGAGAUGUCAUCAGAAAUGACCCUGUCCCUAUUUCGGACGACAACCCACUCUAGGGUGUCACGGCCCAGAUUCCGCCGCAGUUGAAGAGAAUAGAUCUUGCAUCUGAGGGUGAUGGAGAUGUGGGACGCAUGGACAAACAGAAAAGAACCCCUGAAUGCCAUCCCCGGAUUUCCCGAGUUGUUCCCAAGGCCAACGGGUACCUCCAAUGUUCAAAUCAGUCAUCCGAACAUCCCACUGGGACAACCUACUAUAUCCGCUCAUUUUGUGGAAUCCUCUUCCGAGGUUCGCCCACAGGCAUUCAUACCCGGGACAACUCCAAACUUCUUCACUGCUCCACCAUCUUCUGCUGCAACACAGCUCGUAGUCCCAAGGCCCGUGUUUGAUCCAUCGGCCUUCACUUAUCAAACCCCUACUUACCAGCCAGAACUUCCUCCAUACUCCUCAUAUGCUUACCCUCAGCCACCACCAUAUGAGUUUACACCGGGGCAAGACAAUACCCCUAACGCCCCAGAGCAAGAUGAGAUGGCCAGGAGAAUGAGAAGCCUUGAAUAGAGCUUAAAGAACAUGCAAGGUUUGAGCGGGCAAAAGAGUGUCUCUUAUACAGAUUUGUGUAUGUUUCCGCAUGUACACUUCCCGUCAAGGUUCAAAACACCAAAAUUUGAAAAGUAUGACCGGCACGACGACCCCAUUGCUCAUUUGAAGAGGUAUUGCAAUCGGUUACGGGGGGACGGUGGCAAAGAAGAAUUAUUGAUGGCAUAUUUUGUGGAAAGCUUAAUCGGCAUUGCUUCCGAAUGGUAUAUGGAUCAAGACAUCUCAUGUUGGCAUAUCUGGGAUGAUCUUGCCAGAGAUUUUAUUUGACAGUUUCAAUAUAACAUAGACAUUGCGCCGGAUAGGAACUCUUUGGCGAAUCUGAAGAAGAAACCCUAAGAAAACUUGAGAGAAUAUUCCAUUAAGUGGCGCGAACAAGCAUCAAGAGUGAAACCUCAAAUGGAUGAGGUAGAGAUGGUCACUGUCUUCCUGCAAGCCCAAGAGCCCGAUUACUUCCAGAAUAUGAUGUCGGCCAUAAGAAAGCCUUUUGCAUAAGCGAUUAAAAUCGGGAAAAUGGUAGAAAAUGGUCUGAAAACGGGUAGAAUCUUGAGCCAGUAGUCCAUAAGAGCGACCUCCAAAGCCAUCCAAGGAGGGUCUGGAGGAAUGGCCAAAAGGAAAAAGAAAGAAGAAACGGUCAUGGCAGCAUCAGGAGGAAGGAGAUACCGGGAUCCUAGACCGAUGUUCUCCGAAAGAACCCCUCAACACUACUAUCCUCACAAUGAUAUGGCCUACGCUCCCCCACCUUAUGUGGUCAUGAAUUAUCAACCUUUCAGCCGACCGCAACCACAAGCCAACCAAAAUCCACCUCCAUUCCAAAGAAACCAACCUCCUUACCAGAACCAAUAUAAUCCUCGACCACCACAAAAUAACUUCCGCCCAUGGAAACCACCCAAGAGGCCCAACUUUAUGCCAAUCGGUGAACCCUACUCCACCUUGUUCCCUAAGCUUGUCCAGAUGAAUUUGCUACAGCCUAUUUCCCAAAAGAUGUAGAACCCGGAAUCUCCAGCUUACCAACGAGGUGUCCACUGUGCCUAUCAUUCAGGAGUUGAGGGGCAUAGUACCGGUAACUGCUGGACCUUGAAGAAAGCUGUGGAAGAUUUGAUUGAACAAGGAAGAAUAGUGGUGAGGGAUGAAGAAACCCCGAAUAUGACCAAUAAUCCGUUGCUCGCUCACAAUAACAGGCCGGUAAUCAGGAUGAUUUAUGAAAACAAGGAAUUCAACCAUUCCUUGAAAGCCAUAAUUGCUAUCGCAGAUGUAGAAAGGAAACCUAAGGCACUCCCGAAGCAAGAUAAAGGGGAAAAGAAGACUAAAACUGUCAAGACAGAACUUGAAAAGAAAGCUGAAAUAAAGCACAGAUGAUGCCUCUUAAAAAUGGGAUUCUCUAUGUUCUGCGAGGUCGCCAAGAAAUGCCAUUGACCGCGAGUACUCCAAAGACAUUUAAAGUGAAAAAGGGAGCACCAAUGUAUGUGCCAAAAGGAACCUAUAUGGUCCGGGGGACAAUUAAACCGCUUCGGCUGAAUGAGCCAGUGGUUAUUGGACGUGUGCCACAGAAGCCAAUGACAGACCCAUCUCCGGUGCCAUGGAACUAUCAGCAGACAGUGGUUACAUGCAAAGGUAAAGAAAUCACAGGAGAAUUUUCAGAAAAUACCUUUACUGAGAAAUAUUCAAAUAUACAAGAGGUAAACAAUGCCACGCGAAAGCACUUUCUAUCCAAGAAGCUUGUGAGUGCUGAGGAAGCAGAGGCUUUCUUCCAGAAAACGAAGAUGCCUGAUUAUGAAGUGGUUGAUCAGUUACGCAAGUAUCCUGAACAUGUGUCUAUGUUGUCUUUGUUAAUGAGGUCUGCCGAGCAUCAGAAGAUCUUAAUAAAAGCUCUGAAUGAGGCAUAUGUGUCGGCUGAGACUAUGGUUGAAUAACUCGAAAGAAUGGCAGAAAGGUUCUUCGCUGUCAAUCAAAUUUCCUUUAGUAAAAAUGACUUGCUUCUAGAGGGAGCGGCUCACAACAAAGCUUUACAUCUGACUGUCAAGUGUGAAGGUUUUUAUGUCAAGCGAGUCAUGGUGGAUGGAGGUUUGGUUGUUGACAUUUGCUUACUUUCCACGCUGUAGAGAAUGGAAAUUGGGACUGGAAGGAUUCGUCGGAAUAACAUCUGUGUUAGAGCCUUUGAUGGCAUUAAAAGGGAUACCAUCAAAGAAAUAGAUAUGAUAUUAACCAUAGGCCCGGUGGAGUUCGAGGUGACUUUACAAGUAUUAGAUAUGGAUACAUAUUACAACUUUCUUCUAGGAAGGCCUUGGAUCCAUGAUGCGGGGGCUGUACCCUCCACCCUUCACCAAAUGGUAAAGUUCGAGUAUGAAGAUAAGGAAAUUGUGGUCCACGGAGAAGACGAGCAACCUAUUUAUCAGGACCCAUCUAUCCCAUGUUUGGAGGCUAGGGAGGGAAGUGAACACAUUAUUUAUCAGGCUUUCAAAGUUGUAGUAGCGGAUCAGUGCGAAGUAGGGAGUCUUUGCCCCCAACCUUUCAUGUCCAAUGCUUCGAUCAUGGUGGCAAAAGAAAUGAUUAGACAUGGUUUCAAAUUAGGAAAAGGAUUGGGAAAAGCUCUACAAGGGAUAUCAGAGCCAAUAACUCUACCCACAUCAGAAAAGUUCUUCGGCAUAAGCUUCCUCCCUACUCCAGAAGAUGAAAAUUGGGCAGAUGAGAGAAAAAAAGGAAGGAUGGGUCUUGCCACAACCAUUGCCACAUCUCUAUCAGACUUUCGUUGUAUAGGUACAAGUUAAAAGUUUUAAAACAAAUAGGUAUAGGUUAAAUGGGGGCGACCAAAUACGGCGCCCCGUGCAAUUUUUACGAUUCAAAGUAGGCCUGAUUUCUUAUGAACUGGCCUAGAAAAGUGCCGGCCCAUUAAAGGAACAAAUGGGUUGCCGCCUUGCUGGAUUAUUGUUUACCUUUUCUCUAUAUAUAUAUAUAUAUAGAAAAAAUAAACAAUAAAUGAUUGAGUUGGCAGCUAUUUGGGUUAAUUUUUCUUUAUUAAAACAAAAACUUCUCAAUAAUCAUACCAGCUUUAAAGCAUAAAAACAUGGAUGUUCACUUUUGUAGACUGAAUGACACACAGCUUAAUGCUAAGAAUACAUUUGAUCAAAUAAUAGAAUAUUUACAAGAAUUGGAGAGAAGUUAUUAUUUCCGGUGAAUGCUUUUGCAGCAAGUCUUCGACCCCCCAACAAAUUAAUGUUGAUUUGCAUUGAUCAGCAGGCCCUAAACAAGUGUAGUUACUAAUCAUAUUUUUAUUUCAUAGAAGACCAAACGUCAUGUUAAUAAAAGAAAUUAUUGGUCAAAAUCAUGGCUGUCAACAUCAAAUUGUACAACUACUAUUAUACUUAGUCAAAUUAUUUAAGUAAUCUUUAGAUAAGAAACCUAAAAAAAAUUAAAACAAAAUAACUUGCUAUUAUUGUAUUUUGUAUUUUAAAGAGAAGUGCAUGACAAAUACCUACUUAAAGAAUUUUAUAUCUUUAGUGUUGUUGCUUAGGUUGGCGGGAAACUCAAUAUGCCGGAAAAUCACAUAACAUAAAUACAAUAAUUUUUGGUAUGUGUUUACUUCUUGUCUUGACAAUAUCACUGCCGCAUUCUUCUGGUCAAUAAAAAAUACGAUACAUAUCACUUCUUUUCAUUUUUCUUUUCUUUUUAUUUGAUCUUUUUCAUGGUUUUGGAGAUGGGCUAUGAGAAUGCGUUUAUUGAAUCAAGAAAAGAGAUUAGCGACGGAACGUUAAUUUAUGUAUAAAAAAUUACUGAAAUUAUAAGAGUGUAGUAAAUAUGUAUCAUUCGUAACUUUAAAUACAUAGUGAAUAAAAUGUUAAGAAAUUUAACGAUUAAACCCUAGAGCUUAGAUAUUAAAUUUCCCUCCCGCUGAUAGACAUGUUUCCAAAGGAGAACGUGUUAGGAUAUAUACUAGUAAUCAUGAGUUUGGUUUAGAUAUAGUAUUUAUUAUGAAAUAAUUGUUUAUUCAGUUUUAAUAAAGUNN